UUUCCGUAGGUGAACCUGCGGAAGGAUCAUUACUAAGUGAGAGCCCUCUGGGUCCAACCUCCCACCCGUGUUUAUUGUACCUUGUUGCUUCGGUGAGCCCGCCUCACGGCCGCCUGUGGGCAUCUGCCCCCUGGCCCGCGCUCGCCGAAGACACCCUUGAUCUCUGUCUUAAGUUUGCAGUCUGAGCGAAAACUAAAUAAGUUAAAACUUUCAACAACGGAUCUCUUGGUUCCG
RNAcentral lists this unclassified non-coding RNA (234 nucleotides) under plant metagenome. RNAcentral describes it as "partial contains small subunit ribosomal RNA, internal transcribed spacer 1, and 5.8S ribosomal RNA". The record is from RNAcentral.